CAGCCGCCGCGGUAAUACGAAGGGUGCAAGCGUUAAUCGGAAUUACUUGGCGUAAAGCGUGCGUAGGCGGUUUGUUAAGUCUGUUGUGAAAUCCCCGGGCUCAACCUGGGAAUGGCAAUGGAUACUGGCAAGCUAGAGUGUGUCAGAGGAUGGUGGAAUUCCCGGUGUAGCGGUGAAAUGCGUAGAGAUCGGGAGGAACAUCAGUGGCGAAGGCGGCCAUCUGGGACAACACUGACGCUGAGGCACGAAAGCGUGGGGAGCAAACAGGAUUAGAUACCCCUGUAGUCCCUGUCUCUUAUAC
Molecule: ribosomal RNA, 301 nt
Filed under: uncultured bacterium
Lineage: Bacteria
Description: partial 16S ribosomal RNA
Rfam family: Bacterial small subunit ribosomal RNA
Source: RNAcentral